RNAcentral lists this unclassified non-coding RNA (240 nucleotides) under soil metagenome. RNAcentral's name for it is "partial contains 5.8S ribosomal RNA, internal transcribed spacer 2, and large subunit ribosomal RNA". The record is from RNAcentral.
AACGGUCUAUACCUGCGGUACCUGCGGAAGGAUCAUUACCGAGUUUACAAAACUCCCAAACCCUUUGUGAACCUUACCUAUCGUUGCUUCGGCGGGACCGCCCCGGCGCCCUCGCGGCCCGGAACCAGGCGCCCGCCGGAGGCCCCAAACCCUCAUGUCUUUAGUGGUUUCCUCCUCUGAGUGACAUAAACAAAUAAAGUAAAAACUUUUAACAAUGGAUCUCUAGAUCGGAAGAGCACA